AAAUGAAUAGACGGGGGCUCACACAAGCGGUGGAGCAUGUGGCUUAAUUCGAAGCAACGCGAAGAACCUUAUCCUAGGCUUGACAUGCACGUAUCAACUUCCUGAAAGGGAAGCCACACCCGCAAGGGCGGAACGUGCACAGGUGCUGCAUGGCUGUCGUCAGCUCGUGCUGUGAAGUGUCGGGUUAAGUCCCUCAACGAGCGAAACCCCUGUCGUUAGUUGCUAACGCGUAAUGGCGAGGACUCUAGCGAGACUGCCGGUGUCAAACCGGAGGAAGGUGGGGAUGACGUCAAGUCCUCAUGGCCCUUAUGCCUAGGGCUGCACACGUGCUACAAUGGCGGAUACAGAACGAUGCAAGACCGCAAGGUGGAGCAAAUCGCAUAAAGUCCGCCCCAGUUCGGAUUGGAGGCUGCAACCCGCCUCCAUGAAGUCGGAAUCGCUAGUAAUCGCGGAUCAGCUACGCCGCGGUGAAUAUGUUCCUGAGCCUUGUACACACCGCCCGU
Molecule: ribosomal RNA, 503 nt
Filed under: uncultured bacterium
Lineage: Bacteria
Description: bacterial SSU rRNA
Rfam family: Bacterial small subunit ribosomal RNA
Source: RNAcentral